UACGGGGGGGGCAAGCGUUGUUCGGAAUUACUGGGCGUAAAGGGCUGGUAGGCGGCCAACUAAGUCGGAUGUGAAAUCCCCAGGCUUAACCUGGGAACUGCAUCCGAUACUGGUCGGCUUGAAUCCGGGAGAGGGAUGCAGAAUUCCAGGUGUAGCGGUGAAAUGCGUAGAUAUCUGGAGGAAUACCGGUGGCGAAGGCGGCAUCCUGGACUGGCAUUGACGCUGAACAGCGAAAGCUAGGGGAGCAAACGGG
This 253-nucleotide ribosomal RNA is filed under the name uncultured bacterium. RNAcentral's name for it is "partial 16S ribosomal RNA". It matches the Rfam family "Bacterial small subunit ribosomal RNA", at positions 524 to 776 of the family's 1533-position model. The record is from RNAcentral.